GCUCUAUUUCCUGCUUACUUCUAAAUCCUCCUUCAAGAUGCAUAUUUCAGUGCGAUUUUUCGUAUUUUCUUCAUGAGAGAAUGUAGCCCAUUUCUUUCCUUUUCAUAGGCUACACCUCGACCUGACGUUUUGGGCUAUGCCAAUUGUGCUUACUAUAGGCCCCUCAGGGGGUAAGCUGACGACGGCGGUAUAUAGGCGGGAUGGGGCAAGAAAAGGUGAGGUUUAACGGGGGUUAUCGGUUUCAAGAACAGGCUCCUCUAGAUGGGUCUAAAGCACCGCCAAGUCCUUUGGGUUUCAAGCUAAUGCUCGUAGUUCCCGGGCGGAUAGUGGGUGUA
RNAcentral lists this ribosomal RNA (335 nucleotides) under Plectropomus pessuliferus pessuliferus. RNAcentral describes it as "partial 12S ribosomal RNA". The record is from RNAcentral. Lineage: Eukaryota; Metazoa; Chordata; Actinopteri; Perciformes; Serranidae.